RNAcentral lists this long non-coding RNA (324 nucleotides) under Prunus persica (peach). RNAcentral describes it as "long non-coding RNA (PPER_LNC004937)". Lineage: Eukaryota; Viridiplantae; Streptophyta; Magnoliopsida; Rosales; Rosaceae. The record is from RNAcentral.
AACAAAUCUAAAGAGGAAUAACUCAUCAAUGUAAUUUCAUCCACGCCAUUUAUUUCCAUCCUUUUUUUCCUUCUUUCUUUCUAAACUAAAUCAUCACGUGAAGAAUAAGUUUCAAUGUAAUGAUAGUUGUAUACAUUUUAUUCCCAUUUCUUAAAUUUUCAUGGGUGCAUUUUUGCUCACUACUUUAACUCAAGGUAUAUCAUCACUACACUUCUCAACAUUUGACAUUUGUCUAUUGGUAUAAUCAUGGUUGGUUCCACAAAUACAAAUCAAAGAGUUAAUUAUGGUUAUGCCUAUGGAUACACGUCAAGUGUUGAGAAUGGU